UCUGGAGCUAAUACAUGCAUCAAAGCUCUGACCCCCUCGGAGCGCAUUUAUUAGAACAAAACCAAUCGGCUUCGGCCGUUUGUUGUUGACUCUGAAUAACUCAGCUGAUCGCAUGGUCUUGAACCGGCGACAUAUCUUUCAAGUAUCUGCCUUAUCAACUUUCGAUGGUAGUUUAUGUGCCUACCAUGGUUGCAACGGGUAACGGAAAAUAAGGGUUUGAUUCCGGAGAGGGAGCCUGAGAAACGGCUACCACAUCUAAGGAAGGCAGCAGGCGCGCAAAUUACCCACUCUCAGUACGAGGAGGUAGUGACUAACAAUAACGAGACCGUCUUCUUUGAGGCCGGUUAUCGGAAUGGGUACAAUUUAAACCCUUUAACGAGGAUCUUUGAGAGGGCAAGUCUGGUGCCAGCAGCCGCGGUAAUUCCAGCUCUCAAGGUGUAUAUCCCUAUUGCUGCGGUUAAAAAGCUCGUAGUUGGAUCUACGCCUCAGGACACGGUCCGCCUUUGGGCGCGCACUGUGAUCCUAGGCAGUUACUGCUGGUUUUCUGCCGGUG
RNAcentral lists this ribosomal RNA (553 nucleotides) under Poikilolaimus regenfussi. Its description in RNAcentral is "SSU rRNA". It matches the Rfam family "Eukaryotic small subunit ribosomal RNA", at positions 157 to 714 of the family's 1831-position model. The record is from RNAcentral. Lineage: Eukaryota; Metazoa; Nematoda; Chromadorea; Rhabditida; Rhabditidae.